AUUUUUCUAUAUAUACUCAGCCAGUCGGAGUCAAGCAGAGCUGAAGAAAUUUAUUCACAAAGAAAAUAUUCCAGUAACGUUCCUGGUUGAUGUUUAACACGCAGCUUAUACCAGUCUCUUGUUGUAGAUUGACAACAAGCUGCUUUUUCUAGAAGGAGGAUUGCUUGGGAAACCUUCAGAUGAAAAUGAAAAGAAAACGUCACCAUGGCCAGAGGAGGAGGAAGCGACAGCAACAACAACGGCGUCGACAGCAGCAGCAGGAACGACAGGAGCAGCAACAAGAGCAGCAGCGGCUGCGGCAGCAGCAGCAGCAGGAGCAGGAGCAGCAGCAGCAGCAGCAGGGGCAACAGCGGCAGCAGCAGCAGGGGCAGCAGCGGCAGCAGCAGCAGCAGCAGCAGCAGCAGCAGCAGCAGCAGUGCCAGCAGCAGCAGCAGCAGCAGUGCCAGCAGCAGCAGCAGCAGCAGCAGCAGUGCCAGCAGCAGCAGCAGCAGCAGUGCCAGCAGUGCCAGCAACUGCAGCAGCAGCAGCAGGAGCAGCAGCAGCAGCAACGUAGGAGGAGAAACAACAGGAGGAGCAGGAGGAGCAGGAAGAGUAAGAAGAGCAAGAGGAACAGGAAGACCAGAAACACCAGGAGGAGGAGGAGAAGAAAUAAUGAGUGAUUCUUCUUUGGAGAAAUUUGUACUCAAAGAAUUACUCAUGUAGAGUCUCACUGUGCUGUCAUCUGAGACUUCAAGUUCAUUACUGAACCCAUGCUUCCUCUCAGCUUCAUGAGAAGAUCACUACAGAUACAGAUCACCACUUUUAGCUAGUGAUAUUCCUCUCUCCCUGCCAAUAAAAUUUCAUCCACCUUUGGUUGUGUACAAGGUAAUAAUCUCUGUGUCUGUCUCACCAUCCCAAGAAU
This 901-nucleotide long non-coding RNA is filed under the name Mus musculus (house mouse). RNAcentral's name for it is "RIKEN cDNA A230006K03 gene". The record is from RNAcentral. Lineage: Eukaryota; Metazoa; Chordata; Mammalia; Rodentia; Muridae.